GCCAUAAUCAUAGGAUUAGGAGAAUGAGAAUGGGUGGUCCAUCUUUGGUUGUUUUUGAAAAUUUAUUUUAGGCUAAAUGCAUUAUAUAUCUUGAAUUUUAUGUUGAUAGAUAUGGUAUGUUUUAUUGACCUAUGUUUAUUUUUGGAAAGCCAUACAAACUAAAAAUUUAUAUUUAAUCGAACUAGAGGUUUUGGUAACUUAUUGAGUCCGUAAAGCUCAUAUCCACUCUUCUACUUUUUUCAAAUGCGGAAGAAUAUACGAGCUAGG
RNAcentral lists this long non-coding RNA (267 nucleotides) under Elaeis guineensis (African oil palm). RNAcentral's name for it is "long non-coding RNA (EGUI_LNC003481)". The record is from RNAcentral. Lineage: Eukaryota; Viridiplantae; Streptophyta; Magnoliopsida; Arecales; Arecaceae.